Epinephelus lanceolatus (giant grouper) is the source of this 296-nucleotide long non-coding RNA. RefSeq lists it as uncharacterized. The record is from RefSeq and is a predicted model, not a curated record. NCBI's taxonomy places the organism in Eukaryota, Metazoa, Chordata, Actinopteri, Perciformes, Serranidae.
UAGAAAAAGAGAGAGGGAGAGUGGAGGAGCACAGCACUCUCCUGCCAAAGAGGGUAAUGAGGAGAGGAGCUGCAGAGAGAGGAGAGUUACUGAGCGGUUCAUUGACAUGCUAAAUGUCAAAGGUGGGAGGUCUAUCGUUCUAAACGCACACUUAAGCACCCGCCACUAGGAGACGACCGCUGCAGCAGUGCAAGCUCCGCGUCAGGGACAGUUGAAGAUCUCUAUCAUAGACUGAAGCUCGGACUUGAUGCAGUAGCAGUCACGCUUUGCUCUGAUGUGACGCAGGAUCUCGCUCA